Long non-coding RNA from Peromyscus leucopus (white-footed mouse), 672 nucleotides. RefSeq lists it as uncharacterized. The transcript is spliced from 2 exons. Lineage: Eukaryota; Metazoa; Chordata; Mammalia; Rodentia; Cricetidae. The record is from RefSeq and is a predicted model, not a curated record.
AGCACUGCAAGUUCCAGGCAGAACUAACUUGGUCAUAUGAUUCUCAUCUCUCUAAAACUCUUCUGCAGUAAUGUUCAACUUCCUGUGUUCCUCAGCCACUGGAGAACACAACAGCUGACGGCGUCAUCUCUGAAAGGAAGUUAAGCAGCUCUCUGAAGUGUCUCUAAAAUCAACCUUUCCCACCCUGGAUUGUAAGGUACUGUUGUUCUCCUCUGUGUUACUCCAUUAUGUGCUAAUGCAUGAUUGAAAAAGUGCUGAGUUCUAGAUAGCUGGCCUAGGAGGCCCCUGAGAAGCAAGUUACCCUGGCAGCACAUUUCAGUGGUAUGAUGGGACCUGAACAUCACUGAAGGACUACUUUUAUGUAUCCUGUCUUUUCUAGCCACAGCACAAACGACAAUGUCUUCUGCUAAUCUGCUAGAGAUAAAAUGUUGAAAAAUGUUAAAACUGUUCUCUGCUGAUGUAUACAGUUUUGUGGAAAUUCUGUGUGGGACAGAAGAAAAGCAUCUUUUACUGCUUCCCGGUUAUUUGGAAACUGACCAUCCCAGAGUUUUAGAAGAAAUCUCUUCAUCAACAUCCAGCCACUCUCUUCUAAACAGCCAAGAAUUUUUAAGAACUGAAAAAGAACAUGUAAUCAUAUGUAAUUUCCAAUAAAAGAAUUUCCGUUACUUGUAA